AGCGAACGCUGGCGGCAGGCCUAACACAUGCAAGUCGAACGAACUCUUCGGAGUUAGUGGCGGACGGGUGAGUAACACGUGGGAACGUGCCUUUUGGUUCGGAAUAACUCAGGGAAACUUGUGCUAAUACCGAAUGCGCCCUUCGGGGGAAAGAUUUAUCGCCAUUAGAGCGGCCCGCGUCUGAUUAGCUAGUUGGUGAGGUAACGGCUCACCAAGGCGACGAUCAGUAGCUGGUCUGAGAGGAUGACCAGCCACACUGGGACUGAGACACGGCCCAGACUCCUACGGGAGGCAGCAGUGGGGAAUAUUGCGCAAGGGGCGAGAGCCUGACGCAGCCAUGCCGCGUGAAUGAUGAAGGUCUGAGGAUUGUAAAAUUCUUUCACCAGGGACGAUAAGGACGGUACCCGGAGAAGAAGCCCCGGCUAACUUCGUG
RNAcentral lists this ribosomal RNA (433 nucleotides) under uncultured bacterium. RNAcentral's name for it is "partial 16S ribosomal RNA". It matches the Rfam family "Bacterial small subunit ribosomal RNA", at positions 29 to 507 of the family's 1533-position model. The record is from RNAcentral.